GUGUUUGUUCGUUAAGGCACACGGUGGAUGCCUUGGCAUGCUGAGCCGAUGAAGGACGUGAGAGGCUGC
RNAcentral lists this ribosomal RNA (69 nucleotides) under Corynebacterium tapiri. RNAcentral's name for it is "partial 23S ribosomal RNA". Lineage: Bacteria; Bacillati; Actinomycetota; Actinomycetes; Mycobacteriales; Corynebacteriaceae. The record is from RNAcentral.